Molecule: ribosomal RNA, 586 nt
Filed under: uncultured Actinomycetes bacterium
Lineage: Bacteria; Bacillati; Actinomycetota; Actinomycetes
Description: bacterial SSU rRNA
Rfam family: Bacterial small subunit ribosomal RNA
Source: RNAcentral
GGAGCAAACAGGAUUAGAUACCCUGGUAGUCCACGCCGUAAACGUUGGGCGCUAGGUGUGGGUCCCUUCCACGGGGUCUGUGCCGCAGCUAACGCAUUAAGCGCCCCGCCUGGGGAGUACGGCCGCAAGGCUAAAACUCAAAGGAAUUGACGGGGGCCCGCACAAGCGGCGGAGCAUGUUGCUUAAUUCGACGCAACGCGAAGAACCUUACCAAGGUUUGACAUGGCCGGAAAAGCCGCAGAGAUGUGGUGUCCUUCGGGGUCGGUCACAGGUGGUGCAUGGCUGUCGUCAGCUCGCGUCGCGAGAUGUUGGGUUAAGUCCCGCAACGAGCGCAACCCUCGUCCUAUGUUGCCAGCGGGUAAUGCCGGGGACUCAUGGGAGACUGCCGGGGUCAACUCGGAGGAAGGUGGGGAUGACGUCAAGUCAUCAUGCCCCUUAUGUCUUGGGCUGCAAACAUGCUACAAUGGCCGGUACAAAGGGCUGCGAACUCGCGAGGGUAAGCGAAUCCCAUAAAGCCGGUCUCAGUUCGGAUCGGGGUCUGCAACUCGGCCCCGUGAAGCUGGAGUCGCUAGUAAUCGCAGAUCAG